This 254-nucleotide ribosomal RNA is filed under the name uncultured bacterium. RNAcentral's name for it is "partial 16S ribosomal RNA". It matches the Rfam family "Bacterial small subunit ribosomal RNA", at positions 524 to 776 of the family's 1533-position model. The record is from RNAcentral.
CACGUAGGGGGCGAGCGUUGUCCAGAUUUAUUGGGCGUAAAGGGUUCGUAGGUGGUUCAGCAAGUCAACUGUGAAAGUCCGGGGCUCAACCCCGGGAAGCCAGUCGAAACUGCUGUGACUAGGGUCCGGUAGAGGUGAGUGGAAUUCUCGGUGUAGCGGUGAAAUGCGCAGAUAUCGAGAGGAACACCAGUAGCGAAGGCGGCUCACUGGGCCGGUACCGACACUGAGGAGCGAAAGCGUGGGGAGCAAACAGG